This 931-nucleotide long non-coding RNA is filed under the name Cyanistes caeruleus (blue tit). RNAcentral's name for it is "lncRNA (ENSCCEG00000013034.1)". Lineage: Eukaryota; Metazoa; Chordata; Aves; Passeriformes; Paridae. The record is from RNAcentral.
GACAAAACAAUCCUUCCAGGCCUGGGAUCCAAGGACACUCUCUGCCUCAGGCCCCAAAAAUUAUAAACAAAAGUGAAUCAGGGACGGGGGAGUGAACUGAGGGUUUCUGACUUCGUUACCUGAAGCUGUAAUUGGAGAAUUAACCCUUGAUAUGCAAAUAAACCAAACUUACAUCUGUCUGAAAAACUCCUGACCAUCAUCCAUUUUGGAUGGAGCCCCCUGGGGAGGCUUCAUCUGCCUGAAAUGUAUCUGAAGGCCCUUCACCACUUUUACCUUUUUAACUUUGUCUGGCCUCUGUUUCUAGGUGAGCCUGAAAAAAGCAUCAGAAGCAGCCCCAUGGGUCCCAUCAGCACAGAGCUCACGGAGGGUGCACCCACAGGGAGUGGGAGAAGCGUCUCAGAAAGGAGCUCUGUGCUUUGGGGAACCUGCAGUAAUGCCUCCAUCCGUGCUCCAGAUGAUCCUGCAGACUUGGAGAGGCCUUGUCAGAGCUCAUCAGGGUUUGCAGAUGACUGGCUGCCAUACAGCAACCAGAGGUGAGUGGAAAUAUUACAGACACACAGGGAAAUCUUCUUUCAGACUAAUCCCCAUGAAUCAUUUUGUUUGCAUUCAUGACCUCUUUUAUAGAUGAUAAUAUAUAUAUAUAUAUUAUAUAUUUGGUAGAAAAACACUUCCUUCUAAAUAAGUUUGAAAAACAAACAUGUCCUAAUUACUCAUGUAAAUAUUCUCAUUUGGGUAUUUAUGCAAAUAUACUUGCCCAUGUGAGCUGGUAUAUCAAACUGCAAUGAAUAUUUAUUUUCUUGAGAAAACAUGGAAGCUAAAAAAACCUUUUUGUCCAACUUCCCUAAAUAUGACAGCACUUUUGUUGUUAUCAUUCAGCAGUGGCUGAAUUUGUUAUUAAUAAACCACAAGGUAAAUUAUGAUUAUGUGUGCA